This is a long non-coding RNA of Cucurbita pepo subsp. pepo (vegetable marrow), 635 nucleotides long. RefSeq lists it as uncharacterized. The record is from RefSeq and is a predicted model, not a curated record. NCBI's taxonomy places the organism in Eukaryota, Viridiplantae, Streptophyta, Magnoliopsida, Cucurbitales, Cucurbitaceae.
UUUUCUAGACUCUUCAAGUAGUUCUAAACUUAAUUUCCUUUUUCCAUUGGAGUAUUCUUAUAUAUCCCAUGACUUGCAAAAGAGGGAAACAACAUCAGGCACAUUGCAUGCAAUCCUUCCCCCCCCAACCCCUUUUUGCAGUGCACUGUUUUCCAUGGCUUUUUAGCUCACUGACUUCUAAGCACAGAAAAGUAAAGCAGUGAUAUCUCUGAUUCCCCUUCCCCAUACCCGAGCGUUCUUUCUCCCUUUUUCUUUUCUUCAUUUUAAUUUCUUUCUGUGGAAUCAUUAGUAAGAUAUAGUGCCUUGUUUGAAAUGCCUUUACAUGACAGAAACGAACAGGAAAGUAUGAUAAUACCUUUUUGGGAUUAAGAAUCCAUGACAAGAUGUUUGCAAAAUCCAAUUAUGUCGCAGCCAAAAGAUGGAGAAGAAAAGCAAAAGCAAAGUCGGCAGAUUAUAAAGAAAUUGAUUCUGUUGCCUUUGGUGUCACAGUCCAUGCUCCUGUCCACUUGUGAACAGAUAAUACCAAAAAAAUGCUUACUUUUUAUUUUGCACCAAUUAUGUUAAAAUAUUCUCUUGGUGCACAUUCUAUUCCUUCUUCAAUGCUAACGUGUCAAAUUUGGACCCUAAUUUUUUAA